This 492-nucleotide ribosomal RNA is filed under the name uncultured bacterium. RNAcentral describes it as "partial 16S ribosomal RNA". It matches the Rfam family "Bacterial small subunit ribosomal RNA", at positions 29 to 507 of the family's 1533-position model. The record is from RNAcentral.
AGUGGACGCUGGCGGUAGGCCUAACACAUGCAAGUCGAACGGCAGCACAGUAAGAGCUUGCUCUUACGGGUGGCGAGUGGCGGACGGGUGAGGAAUACAUCGGAAUCUACUUUUUCGUGGGGGAUAACGUAGGGAAACUUACGCUAAUACCGCAUACGACCUACGGGUGAAAGCAGGGGAUCUUCGGACCUUGCGCGAUUGAAUGAGCCGAUGUCGGAUUAGCUAGUUGGCGGGGUAAAGGCCCACCAAGGCGACGAUCCGUAGCUGGUCUGAGAGGAUGAUCAGCCGCACUGGAACUGAGACACGGUCCAGACUCCUACGGGAGGCAGCAGUGGGGAAUAUUGGACAAUGGGCGCAAGCCUGAUCCAGCCAUACCGCGUGGGUGAAGAAGGCCUUCGGGUUGUAAAGCCCUUUUGUUGGGAAAGAAAAGCAGCAGGUUAAUACCCCGCUGUUCUGACGGUACCCAAAGAAUAAGCACCGGCUAACUUCGUG